Molecule: long non-coding RNA, 238 nt
Filed under: Sus scrofa (pig)
Lineage: Eukaryota; Metazoa; Chordata; Mammalia; Artiodactyla; Suidae
Description: lncRNA (ENSSSCG00015009575.1)
Source: RNAcentral
AGAAUGUCCGCCCACCCCACCCAGCUCUCUGCGUCCCCUGCUUCUUUUCUCGCGUCUUCUGGUCUGUCAGCUCCAAAGCGCAAAUUCUAGGAAUUGUUUCCUGCCAGCCUCUGCCGAGCUGCGUUCACGCGCUGAUCGGAGAAUGAGUGACAGUCCCAGCCUCAGCACACUCUCAACUCGGAGAUCCUUGCGCUGGCCCGGGUUCGCUUUGAUGGAACUGGCCCCUCCCUGCCCUGUG